Long non-coding RNA from Egretta garzetta (little egret), 2822 nucleotides. RefSeq lists it as uncharacterized. The record is from RefSeq and is a predicted model, not a curated record. The transcript is spliced from 3 exons. Lineage: Eukaryota; Metazoa; Chordata; Aves; Pelecaniformes; Ardeidae.
UUCUGGGUUGGAUCCCAGCUUUUUCCCAGACUCCCUGUGUCUCCCUCUGCACAUCCCCUCAACUCUGUAUGUCCCAUCUGUUUUCUGCAAUAUGCAGGUAACUAUUGCCUUUGUAAUCUUGUCUACUGAAAUAGAAAUUUGGGGGUAAGGCCUCUUUGCACAGGGCCUAAUACAAGGAGAAUCUGAUGUCUGAUGGCACAAGGUACUACUGGAACGUAAAGGUAACCCUCCUGAAACAAGCACUCAGGUAUGCCGAUUGGACUGGAUGAAAUGGUUUCGUAGGAAAUGCUGCUCUUUUGAAAAUAUUUGCUGCAUGCUGAGAAGUAAACCUGUUGGAAAAGAAACAACCCUGGGCGAUAGAGUCUGCGCAGGAAACGCGGGUCAUUCAGUCACGCCAAGAAAAUGCUGCCUCCUGGGGAUUCUUCAGCCAGUUUAAGGCUCUGUACAGUGGAAAAACUCGAGGGGAAUCCAAGGCACUUCUGCACGGAGAGACCAAUCACCAGGACGGAAAGGCAAAGAACACAUCAGGGGGAUGGCCUCGUUUGACAGCCAGCCGGGAGGGGAACGCCAGCGCUAAUUCAUCACAACCAUUAAUUGGCCUGGUAUGACCUCUGAAAGUUGUGUUCUUCUCCGCUAUCACAGAAUCACAGAAUGGCAAGGAAGGGACCUCGGGAGAUCAUCUAGUCCAACCCUAUCUCUGUGGCCUGCAGAAGUGAAGGUGCCCACGUUUUUAGGAAGUGGAAGUCUCGACGCCUUUAGAAAGUUGCUGCUGCACGACGCAUCCGUCGGUCAGUCUCGAGCAUCUGUGGCACAAUCAACAAGUGAAUCCAAAUCAGCAAACUUCCUCCCAAUUACAAGGUAAUUGGUGGCAUCCUGGCCUUUCAGGCACCAGACUGUUCCUCAUAAAACAUUCAAAAGCCUCGCAGUUACCCGAAGAGGAACACGGGGAGGGAGGUAUUUUUCCACCCGAUGGAGGUGGCCUGUAAUUGCUGUAGGCAUAUCCUGACUUUGUCUGCAUUGCUCAUCGCUGCUAUGUCUAAGGAUUCCUUGAUAUUCAGAGUGCCCAAACCAAGGCAGGUUUUCAUAAUAUGAUUACAUUGUGAAAUUAUAUUUCACGCCUGUAUAUUACAGCGUGCGUGCAUGUACUUUCAUCGUGUGUCAGAGUGGAGUUUGCUCUUCUCUGAUACCGCGCACAAGAGGAUGUCUACAAAUUGAAUUUUUUCGGGAUAGUCAUCCUAAAUAACCCCAUGUGGGGAAACCUGUAUGGUAGCACAAAAGCACCUUGCUCUCCUUUAUCAUAAUCCAUUUUAAACAUGGAUUAUGCUGAUGCAGAACAGGGCGCUCCUAUUUGGGAAUAAUUUUAAAUGGGAAUAGUUCUUGUGCUUUCGGCUCACACCCUGCAUUAUCCAAAACAGCUUUGAAGUGUAAACAAGCUUCUAACGCGUCUCUAGUAUUUCCAUUCUGCUCCUUGGCUCCUCCUUGUUCCCUACCUCUUCCUUUGGGAAGGUUCAGAGCAAAACCAGACCUGCAGAGCCUGUCAUUUAGGUCUUUGCUUUCACCAACUUCAUACCAAGGGACAUUUCCAAUCCGAUUCCAAAUGUAAAUGCAUCCCUAAGCUUUUGAAGGGAGCGUUUAGAUGCAAGUUGCUGACUCGGAGCCAUCCCCACAAAUUAUAUUAGUGCAUAAAAUGUUUCCUUUCGCACUUUUCGGAAAGGGAGAAGGGUUUGUGUUUCUAACCUCCUGUAGUCCCUUUUGGCACAGUUUGGGUUUUUUUUCUCUAUUAUCACCAGCCUACUCUGCAAGCUCCAGGCAAAAACCGAUGGGUACAGCUCUGAGAAAGGCCCAACGGGUGCUGUAAUGACUCGGACCCGUACCCAUCUGCCUCCUCUCCAGCUGUGACGAGCAAUGGAUACGUAGGGAAGCCUGCAAACACGCGCUCUGAGAUCAUCCCUCUUCCAUUGAGUCAAAAGCCAUUUACACAUCUGCUUCCGUGAAGCGCCACGGCUCCUUACCUGGCUUCUGUUCAGUUAUUUGAACCUGACUAUUUUAUCUGGUGUCCUGCCUCUAGUUUUACUGUCGUUAGUCCCUGUUUGUAUUCUUCUAUACCAUGGUUUUCCAUGCCCCUCUCACAUGCCGCUCGUGCCCUUUAUGGGUGCUGCAGCUCUAAUCCCUUGGUCUUCCCUCGCACAGAAGUCGGCUCCCACCUGAGAUCUCCCUGGCUGCUUUUCUCCAUGGCUUUACCAGUUUCUCUGGCCAGAUCUGCAGGUGGCAUUCAAGAUGGAACAAUACCAUGCAAGCACAUGUAUGUCAGGCAGGAUAAUCUGUUUUCUGGUUUGUUAAUCCUUUUUUUAACCAUUCCCAUUAUUUCGUUUGUAUUUCCAGCCUCCUGUGGGGACGAGCUGGCUGGUUCCAGAGUCCUGUCCUUAACAAGGAUACAAACAUAGCAGCUAAUUUAGAGAGCUCCAUUGCAUAUACAUCAGUCGGGUUAUUUUAUCUGCUAAUUUAUCGCUGCUUGUCUUGAUACCAUGAGGUCCUUCUGCAGCUCUUCACAGGCAGGUUUAGAUUUCCCUGUCCUGAGUAGUUCUGAAACAUCUGCAGCUGCAUCGUUGCCCUGUUCAUCUCCAGCACCAGCGGCCGGCGCGGCUGCGAUGGCUCCUGAGAUCAGGGCAUCAACGCCAGCUCCUGUCAUUCUCUGCGCUCCCUGUUUGUGACUGCACAGAUCAGUCAGACGUCGGCCGUGACACUGCAGGAUAUUGUCCCUUAAAACUAUGUCAUAUUUCAAGAUCCAACCACAGAGGCGGAAGGAUCCGUGUUCACAAAGA